This 446-nucleotide ribosomal RNA is filed under the name uncultured bacterium. Its description in RNAcentral is "bacterial SSU rRNA". It matches the Rfam family "Bacterial small subunit ribosomal RNA", at positions 354 to 796 of the family's 1533-position model. The record is from RNAcentral.
GUGGGGAAUAUUGCGCAAUGGGCGAAAGCCUGACGCAGCCACGCCGCGUGAGCGAUGAAGGCCUUCGGGUCGUAAAGCUCUGUGGGGAGAGAAGAAUAAAGCCUGUGAAGAGCAGGCCUUGACGGUAUCUCCUUAGCAAGCACCGGCUAACUCCGUGCCAGCAGCCGCGGUAAUACGGAGGGUGCAAACGUUGCUCGGAAUCAUUGGGCGUAAAGCGCACGUAGGCUGCCCGACAAGUUGGGUGUGAAAACCCUGGGCUCAACCCAGGAAGUGCAUCCAAAACUGGCGGGCUUGAAUCUCGGAGGGGGUCGGAGAAUUCCCGGUGUAGAGGUGAAAUUCGUAGAUAUCGGGAGGAAUACCAGUGGCGAAGGCGCCGACCUGGACGAAGAUUGACGCUGAGGUGCGAAAGCGUGGGGAGCAAACAGGAUUAGAAACCCUAGUAGUCC